GGCCCUAGCACAGGUGCUGCAUGGCCGUCGUCAGCUCGUGCCGUGAGGUGUUGGGUUAAGUCCCGCAACGAGCGCAACCCCCGCCGUUAGUUGCCAGCGGUUCGGCCGGGCACUCUAACGGGACUGCCCGCGAAAGCGGGAGGAAGGAGGGGACGACGUCUGGUCAGCAUGGCCCUUACGGCCUGGGCGACACACGUGCUACAAUGCCCACUACAAAGCGAGGCCACCCGGCAACGGGGAGCUAAUCGCAAAAAGGUGGGCCCAGUUCGGAUUGGGGUCUGCAACCCGACCCCAUGAAGCCGGAAUCGCUAGUAAUCGCGGAUCAGCCAUGCCGCGGUGAAUACGUUCCCGGGCCUU
RNAcentral lists this ribosomal RNA (357 nucleotides) under uncultured Thermus sp. RNAcentral's name for it is "bacterial SSU rRNA". It matches the Rfam family "Bacterial small subunit ribosomal RNA", at positions 1025 to 1382 of the family's 1533-position model. The record is from RNAcentral. Lineage: Bacteria; Thermotogati; Deinococcota; Deinococci; Thermales; Thermaceae.